Molecule: ribosomal RNA, 186 nt
Filed under: Triticum aestivum (bread wheat)
Lineage: Eukaryota; Viridiplantae; Streptophyta; Magnoliopsida; Poales; Poaceae
Description: partial small subunit ribosomal RNA
Source: RNAcentral
GAUAAUCACAAUAAAGUUGUAUUUUGGAACGUGCGUGGCCUUAACAGCAAAGCUAAACGCACAGCUGUCCGCACUGUAAUCGCCUCUACCUCCACCCUGGUGGUUUGUCUACAAGAGACCAAGCUCGCUACAGUCACUGCCGCCAUCGUCUUCGAGACGCUCGGUGGAAACUUCGCUGACUUCUAG